GACGAGGGGUCCAAGCGUUGUUCGGAAUCAUUGGGCGUAAAGCGGGUGUAGGCGGCUCUAUAAGUCAGAAGUGAAAGCCCCAGGCUUAACCUGGGAAGUGCUUUUGAUACUGCAGAGCUUGAAUGUGGGAGAGGGUAGUGGAAUUCCAGGUGUAGUGGUGAAAUACGUAGAUAUCUGGAGGAACACCGGUGGCGAAGGCGGCUACCUGGCCCAACAUUGACGCUGAGACCCGAAAGCAUGGGGAUCAAACAGG
This 253-nucleotide ribosomal RNA is filed under the name uncultured bacterium. Its description in RNAcentral is "partial 16S ribosomal RNA". It matches the Rfam family "Bacterial small subunit ribosomal RNA", at positions 524 to 776 of the family's 1533-position model. The record is from RNAcentral.